UACGAAGGGUGCAAGCGUUACUCGGAAUUACUGGGCGUAAAGCGUGCGUAGGUGGUGAGUUAAGUCUGUCGUGAAAGCCCCGGGCUCAACCUGGGAAUGGCGAUGGAUACUGGCUCGCUAGAGUGCGGUAGAGGAGAGUGGAAUUCCCGGUGUAGCAGUGAAAUGCGUAGAGAUCGGGAGGAACAUCAGUUGCGAAGGCGGCUCUCUGGACCGCACUGACACUGAGGCACGAAAGCGUGGGGAGCAAACAGG
RNAcentral lists this ribosomal RNA (252 nucleotides) under uncultured bacterium. RNAcentral's name for it is "partial 16S ribosomal RNA". It matches the Rfam family "Bacterial small subunit ribosomal RNA", at positions 524 to 776 of the family's 1533-position model. The record is from RNAcentral.